AGCGCAGGUGGUUUAUUAAGUCUGGUGUAAAAGGCAGUGGCUCAACCAUUGUAUGCAUUGGAAACUGGUAGACUUGAGUGCAGGAGAGGAGAGUGGAAUUCCAUGUGUAGCGGUGAAAUGCGUAGAUAUAUGGAGGAACACCGGUGGUGAAAGCGGCUCUCUGGCCUGUAACUGACACUGAGGCUCGAAAGCGUGGGGAGCAAACA
This 206-nucleotide ribosomal RNA is filed under the name uncultured bacterium. RNAcentral's name for it is "partial 16S ribosomal RNA". It matches the Rfam family "Bacterial small subunit ribosomal RNA", at positions 568 to 774 of the family's 1533-position model. The record is from RNAcentral.